Long non-coding RNA from Aethalodelphis obliquidens (Pacific white-sided dolphin), 281 nucleotides. RefSeq lists it as uncharacterized. NCBI's taxonomy places the organism in Eukaryota, Metazoa, Chordata, Mammalia, Artiodactyla, Delphinidae. The record is from RefSeq and is a predicted model, not a curated record. The transcript has 3 exons.
AAACUUGAGAGGCUUCAAAAAAGAAGGAGAAGAAAUGAAAGGAAGGGGAAGGAGAAAGAGGAGGUAGAGAAGAAGGAGAAGAGGAAGAAGAGGAAGAGGUUAUUGCUUGGAAAGGAAAAUGUAGACUCCAAAAAAACCUGAAAACUUUGGGGAAUGAUUUCAGCAAUGGAUCCUGAAAGGGCAGGCACAGAUGGAGCCAGCUGGGAAGAUGCUCCGUAUUCCAUUCUUCUAUUCCAAGACCUGGAUGAUUAAGGAAAUAAGCAGUUUUUCUAUGAUGUCAG